This 429-nucleotide ribosomal RNA is filed under the name bacterium. RNAcentral's name for it is "partial 16S ribosomal RNA". It matches the Rfam family "Bacterial small subunit ribosomal RNA", at positions 355 to 776 of the family's 1533-position model. The record is from RNAcentral.
UAGGGAAUCUUCCACAAUGGACGCAAGUCUGAUGGAGCAACGCCGCGUGAGUGAAGAAUGUUUUCGGAUCGUAAAGCUCUGUUGUUGGUGAAGAAGGAUAGAGGCAGUAACUGGUCUUUAUUUGACGGUAAUCAACCAGAAAGUCACGGCUAACUACGUGCCAGCAGCCGCGGUAAUACGUAGGUGGCAAGCGUUGUCCGGAUUUAUUGGGCGUAAAGCGAGCGCAGGCGGAAUGAUAAGUCUGAUGUGAAAGCCCACGGCUCAACCGUGGAACUGCAUCGGAAACUGUCAUUCUUGAGUGCAGAAGAGGAGAGUGGAAUUCCAUGUGUAGCGGUGGAAUGCGUAGAUAUAUGGAAGAACACCAGUGGCGAAGGCGGCUCUCUGGUCUGCAACUGACGCUGAGGCUCGAAAGCAUGGGUAGCGAACAGG